Long non-coding RNA from Pan troglodytes (chimpanzee), 941 nucleotides. RefSeq lists it as uncharacterized. The record is from RefSeq and is a predicted model, not a curated record. The transcript has 3 exons. NCBI's taxonomy places the organism in Eukaryota, Metazoa, Chordata, Mammalia, Primates, Hominidae.
GCCGCGCCCGGGGGAGGCCCGGAGCUACACGCUCCAGGCUGGGGCCCGGCCCUCCCGGCCUCAGUUUCUUCCCUUCCCUCAGUGGCCUGGACCAGGGCGGAGGGGUGGAAACGACCUACCCCAGAGACGGAGGGAAGACUAGGAUGAUACCUGGACGGCAGGUGAAGAAGGGCUGGGCGCAGCUGUCCAAGAUUAGGAGACUUUGUUUGUCCCCCCCAGGUCCAUGUGGGAAUGGAGUCGCCGUAUUAAUACUAAUACCGGAGACAGCAGUGAUCCAGUUCCAGUCCCACUUCCUCAACUGCCGGCUGGUGGUUUCCACCUGCAUGUGCUCAUCUCUUUACUCAUGCCCUAAGGACUCAACACCAGUGCCUGAUAGGAUCUACUGAGGAUGCUGAAACUCACUUGGUAGAUGUUCAAGCCCCCCACGCCUUCUCCAGCUGGUGGUCAGUAUUCUUAGGUCCAGCAUACCACCCACCAAGCAUCCUUGCCCGAUUGAUGCCUCCACCAGAACAGAGGAAAGCAAAGAAAUUUGCACCCUGACCAUCUGGGAUUGUUGCUAACCGCAAAGACAAAAUCAGGAAGUGAAGCCCGUGCUUAGGUACAAUUGAGGCUGUAUAGUUUAGCAGGAUUCCCAGUAAGCCAGUCCUUAUUGCCUUUUAUUCUUCCUAUUCCUUUGUCCUCUUCAAUUUCUCCCCUUUGAGCAUCAAGUCCCUUUUCCCUGCCCUUUGUGCUCUCUCCACUUCGAUCCACGUCUUCCUUCUUUGUCCCACAGCCAGUCUGCAUUGAUAUUCAUGCCAAAAGAAUGACCCAGUCCGUUCUGUGGUAGCAAUCCGAGACUGGUGACUGGUGCAACUGCUGGAAUAUAUAAACAUGACUCUUUUUCAGGUAGCAUCUGGGAUGCCAGUCUUAGCAGCCUCAUUUAAAAAAUUAUUUAUAUUCAC